CAUUUGCAGGUUGUUAUUUAUACUAGUUUGAUUGAAGUCAUAUCUUAUGCAAUAGAGAUACAAAAUCCAGACGAGAUAGUAGCUAUCGUCCAACCUUAAACAAUUGUAUUUUCGUUCAAAGAACCAGCAAUUAUGGAUGCAAUUCUCUACUCCUUAGAUCACGUGGUUGAAAUAUAAUGAUGAUGCCACCUUUUAAAACAAUAACUCCAUCAACUCAGGUACCCAGCUCUGGCUAUAUAUAUCUAAAAUUGAUGGAAGUAAGCUUGAAUUCUGUAUUGUUUAUCUUCAACGCUUGUCUCUAAUUCAUCGUUUCGCUGCUCUCUCCUAAAUAGUUCUUAUAAGCUUACUCUGCAUUUUGUCUACAUAUCAAAUGAGUGACAAUAAGAAAUCUGAUAACUUACAGAUUUUGUUUCUUUUUACCUUUACGGAAAUAGACUUCUAUUUCAAUAUCAAAAACACAAGGUAUGUUACUUCCUGAAACCAUAAACACUUCAAUGCUAGUUCUGUGCAUCUCCUGAUUGGGAAUCCGUUACCCGUUAUACUUUUUUCAGAUCCUGCAAAUUUUCGUAAUGGUAGGAGCUUUAGCUAUGGGAUUCUAAGUAGGCGUUUGUACCUGUGGAUGCUUUUAAACGACUACUACAUGAAUAUAUGGCGCAAGGGAUUCCCACUACCUCAGAAGUAUGCUUUGGCCCUAAUGCAUGUCGAGUUUGGGUGGAUGUUGUAAAGGUUACAGAUGUUGUAGGUUGGAGACUAUCUUCUAAGAUCAAGUAUAUGGAAGAUGUGCAUGAAACCUCUAUUGCAUGGCCAGAGGAUAAAGUGGUACCUGUAGUGUUGAGAUUUGGAUUCAUUUGCUUGUUUUACAUAAGUGGGGAAACAAUGUCAACCUAAUACAACAUAUUUUGUCUUCAGAAGUGAAUUGAAGUAAAUUGAUUGUUCUGAAUUGAUGGAAUGAAGUAUGUUUAUUGCUUCUAAGUUUA
Molecule: non-coding RNA, 977 nt
Organism: Camelina sativa (false flax)
Lineage: Eukaryota; Viridiplantae; Streptophyta; Magnoliopsida; Brassicales; Brassicaceae
Source: RefSeq, a predicted model, not a curated record